Molecule: long non-coding RNA, 1767 nt
Filed under: Homo sapiens (human)
Lineage: Eukaryota; Metazoa; Chordata; Mammalia; Primates; Hominidae
Description: HSALNT0323146
Source: RNAcentral
UUAAUUUCGUUCUCCUGCUUUUUAACUUUUUGUUGUUUCUAUUUAUAUCUUAUUGUACUGACUAUUCUUGAAAAGUUGGGCUUAGGGAGCCCGUCCGGCCAUGGUGGCCGCGGGUGGUGGUUGGCGCGGCUGCGCUGCGGCGCGGGGCAGUGCGGAGCCGGGACAGUCGCGGCGCUGACGCCCGCGAGCCCCAGCUGCAGAUAUGAAGCGGAGCCGCUGCCGCGACCGACCGCAGCCGCCGCCGCCCGACCGCCGGGAGGAUGGAGUUCAGCGGGCAGCGGAGCUGUCUCAGUCUUUGCCGCCGCGCCGGCGAGCGCCGCCCGGGAGGCAGCGGCUGGAGGAGCGGACGGCCCCGCGGGGCCCGAGGGCAAGGAGCAGCCGCCUGCCUUGGCCUCCCAAAGUGCCGAGAUUGCAGCCUCUGCCCGGCCGCCACCCCGUCUGGGAAGUGAGGAGCGUCUCUGCCUGGCCGCCCAUCGUCUGGGAUGUGAGGAGCCCCUCUGCCUGGCUGCCCAGUCUGGAAAGUGAGGAGUGUCUCCGCCCGGCCGCCAUCCCAUCUAGGAAGUGAGGAGCACCUCUUCCCAGCCGCCAUCACAUCUAGGAAGUGAGGAGCGUCUCUGCCCGGCCGCCCAUCGUCUGAGAUGUGGGGAGCGCCUCUGCCCCGCCGCCCCAUCUGGGAUGUGAGGAGCGCCUCUGCCCGGCCGAGACCCCGUCUGGGAGGUGAGGAGCGUCUCUGCCCGGCCGCCCCGUCUGAGAAGUGAGGAGACCCUCUGCCUGGCAACCACCCCGUCUGAGAAGUGAGGAGCCCCUCCGCCCGGCAGCCACUCCAUCUGGGAAGUGAGGAGCGUCUCCGCCCGGCAGCCACCCCGUCCGGGAGGGAGGUGGGGGGGGGGUCAGCCCCCCGCCCGGCCAGCCGCCCCAUCCGGGAGGGAGGUGGGGGGGUCAGCCCCCCGCCCGGCCAGCCGCGCCGUCCGGGAGGGAGGUGGGGGGGUCAGCCCCCCGCCUGGCCAGCCGUGCCGUCCGGGAGGAAGUGGGGGGGUCAGCCCUCCGCCCGGCCAGUCGCCCCGUCUGGGAGGUGAGGGGCGCCUCUGCCCGGCCGCCCCUACUGGGAAGUGAGGAGCCCCUCUGCCCGGCCAGCCGCCCCGUCCGGGAGGGAGGUUGGGGGGUCAGCCCCCCGCCCGGCCAGCCGCCCCGUCCGGGAGGUGAGGGGCGCCUCUGCCCCGCCGCCCCUCCUGGGAAGUGAGGAACCCCUCUGCCGGGCCACCACCCCGUCUGGGAGGUGUGCCCAACAGCUCAUUGAGAACGGGCCAGGAUGACAAUGGUGGCUUUGUGGAAUAGAAAGGCGGGAAAGGUGGGGAAAAGAUUGAGAAAUCGGAUGGUUGCCGUGUCUGUGUAGAAAGAAGUAGACAUGGGAGACUUUUCAUUUUGUUCUGCACUAAGAAAAAUUCCUCUGCCUUGGGAUCCUGUUGAUCUGUGACCUUACCCCCAACCCUGUGCUCUCUGAAACAUGUGCUGUGUCCACUCAGGGUUAAAUGGAUUAAGGGCGGUGCAAGAUGUGCUUUGUUAAACACAUGCUUGAAGGCAGCAUGCUCGUUAAGAGUCAUCACCAAUCCCUAAUCUCAAGUAAUCAGGGACACAAACACUGCGGAAGGCCGCAGGGUCCUCUGCCUAGGAAAACCAGAGACCUUUGUUCACUUGUUUAUCUGCUGACCUUCCCUCCACUAUUGUCCCAUGACCCUGCCAAAUCCCCCUCUGUGAGAAACACCCAAG